Molecule: long non-coding RNA, 1446 nt
Organism: Solanum tuberosum (potato)
Lineage: Eukaryota; Viridiplantae; Streptophyta; Magnoliopsida; Solanales; Solanaceae
Exons: 3
Source: RefSeq, a predicted model, not a curated record
UUAAAUUAUGUUAUAUUCUCUGAUGAAAUUUUGAUGGAUUUUUUCUCUUUUUAAAUUGUUUUUAUUUCAUGAAAAUGGAACUUGGACAGUAGGAGUGCCAGGAAAUAAGAUGAAGAGAUUUUUUGAGGUUGCUUAUGUCCUUUUGUUGAUGUAUAUAGAGAUGGUGACUUCUGUGAAUGUAUCUUAGCACAAUUUUGAGCAUUGAUGACCUCGCUGAAUUUAACCACUAUAUUUGAGAUCUCAUUUCUCAGGUGGGAAGUCUCAAAUUGGAAAUAAAGAUGUUAGAAUUUGUGAUAUAUUUCCUCUUCAAUAUAUUGGUGUUUCACAUGUGCAAUAAAUUUUGAACGGUCUGUUGUUAGCUUGAAGGUAAUCGUCUUCGAAAAUUGACAUCUUUUUGGGUUCAAAAUAAUAUUUCAGUAUGGGGAGGAUAAAGUGUAACAACACCUUACCUCACCUCAUGCAAGUAGAUUCGUUGUUUCUGAAAUUUUCAUAGUUGUCUUAUUAUGUUGAUAUAAUUGUAUAAGUAAUUGAAGGGGUUGCAGCAGGGAUAUUAGUGUUCCAACAAAAGCAGAAGCUAUUAAAAAUUAUUUUGUCAAAGAAAAAUUGAAGUAAUUAGCAUUACACGCCUAAUGAAGAUGUUGAAAUUUAGGACCAUUGAAGAGAUUCCCUUGAAUAGUAGAAAAGGAAAGCAAGUUCAGUACAUAGUAUAAUUGAUCAAUUAUGUUUCAGACUGCUUCUGGAUCUUCAACAAAUUAAACUAAAAAUACAAAUAGUUAAUAUUCAUAUUGCUGAUGUUGAUAAUCACUUGGCUGCUGUGAAAAUGUUGAAAAUAUAAGCUCAUAGGGGUAUACUGAAUAUCAUGUGUAUCUGUUUUGAAGUUGUGAAUUUACUAUUCAGUUACUUUAAUGUAUAAAAAAAACUAAUACUUUUGUGACUUUAUUGUGUAGUAUACAAAAUUCAUGCUAUUUUGUGUGAUUUGGGACGAGCGUCGAUUAUGUGAUUAGAUGAAUUCUCAACUAGAGAUCAAAAUCAUGAUCAGAGCAAUUCUUGUGGAUUGACUGAUAGAAGCACACAAAAGUAAUCUGUUCGGUUGAAAGUUGUCAUGAACUCUGAUUCUCUGCUAUGUCUGCCUCUGCGGAUGGAUGACUUACUAACAAUAACACAUGAUGCUUAUGUCAAGGACCAAAUACUAAUGGAGAAAGCAAUUUGGAAAAGCUAGAGUGUGCAAAUUUACCACAAAAGAAGCAACAACAUCCGUGUGAAAAAAAACUGCUUGAGAAAAUGAAAGCGAAAGUAUUGCUCACAUUUGCAAGAUCAAAAAAACUUUUUAGGAUCUAUUGUUAAUAUUCUUGGCAUUGUUAAUACUCUAAUUCUCAACUAAAAAUUGUGUGAAGUUUAAAUUUUCGUCCAAAGCUCAUGAAGGCAGAUGUGAUUUCUUUUGGUUAA